GAAGGUGUGCUGUGAGGCAUGCUGGAGGUAUCAGAAGUGCGAAUGCUGACAUAAGUAACGAUAAAGCGGGUGAAAAGCCCGCUCGCCGGAAGACCAAGGGUUCCUGUCCAACGUUAAUCGGGGCAGGGUGAGUCGACCCCUAAGGCGAGGCCGAAAGGCGUAGUCGAUGGGAAACAGGUUAAUAUUCCUGUACUUGGUGUUACUGCGAAGGGGGGACGGAGAAGGCUAUGUUGGCCGGGCGACGGUUGUCCCGGUUUAAGCGUGUAGGUGUGUGUUCCAGGUAAAUCCGGUUCACUUUAACACUGAGGCGUGAUGACGAGGCACUACGGUGCUGAAGUAACAAAUGCCCUGCUUCCAGGAAAAGCCUCUAAGCAUCAGGUAACAUCAAAUCGUACCCCAAACCGACACAGGUGGUCAGGUAGAGAAUACCAAGGCGCUUGAGAGAACUCGGGUGAAGGAACUAGGCAAAAUGGUGCCGUAACUUCGGGAGAAGGCACGCUGACAUGUAGGUGAAGCCCCUGCGGGUGGAGCUGAAGUCAGUCGAAGAUACCAGCUGGCUGCAACUGUUUAUUAAAAACACAGCACUGUGCAAACACGAAAGUGGACGUAUACGGUGUGACGCCUGCCCGGUGCCGGAAGGUUAAUUGAUGGGGUUAUCGCAAGAGAAGCUCCUGAUCGAAGCCCCGGUAAACGGCGGCCGUAACUAUAACGGUCCUAAGGUAGCGAAAUUCCUUGUCGGGUAAGUUCCGACCUGCACGAAUGGCGUAAUGAUGGCCAGGCUGUCUCCACCCGAGACUCAGUGAAAUUGAACUCGCUGUGAAGAUGCAGUGUACCCGCGGCAAGACGGAAAGACCCCGUGAACCUUUACUACAGCUUGACACUGAACAUUGAGCCUUGAUGUGUAGGAUAGGUGGGAGGCUUUGAAGCGUGGACGCCAGUCUGCGUGGAGCCAACCUUGAAAUACCACCCUUUAAUGUUUGAUGUUCUAACCUGGCGCCAUAAUCUGGCGUGGGGACAGUGUCUGGUGGGUAGUUUGACUGGGGCGGUCUCCUCCCAAAGUGUAACGGAGGAGCACGAAGGUCAGCUAAUCCUGGUCGGACAUCAGGAGGUUAGUGCAAUGGCAUAAGCUGGCUUGACUGCGAGAGUGACGGCUCGAGCAGGUGCGAAAGCAGGUCAUAGUGAUCCGGUGGUUCUGUAUGGAAGGGCCAUCGCUCAACGGAUAAAAGGUACUCCGGGGAUAACAGGCUGAUACCGCCCAAGAGUUCAUAUCGACGGCGGUGUUUGGCACCUCGAUGUCGGCUCAUCACAUCCUGGGGCUGAAGUAGGUCCCAAGGGUAUGGCUGUUCGCCAUUUAAAGUGGUACGCGAGCUGGGUUUAGAACGUCGUGAGACAGUUCGGUCCCUAUCUGCCGUGGGCGCUGGAGAAUUGAGGGGGGCUGCUCCCAGUACGAGAGGACCGGAGUGGACGCAUCACUGGUGUUCGGGUUGUCAUGCCAAUGGCACUGCCCGGUAGCUAAAUGCGGAAGAGAUAAGUGCUGAAAGCAUCUAAGCACGAAACUUGCCCCGAGAUGAGUUCU
Molecule: ribosomal RNA, 1576 nt
Filed under: Cronobacter dublinensis
Lineage: Bacteria; Pseudomonadati; Pseudomonadota; Gammaproteobacteria; Enterobacterales; Enterobacteriaceae
Description: bacterial LSU rRNA
Rfam family: Bacterial large subunit ribosomal RNA
Source: RNAcentral